UGCGCGGGUAGGGCCGAGGGGCUCGCCCUCCCUCAUACCCGAAACGGGCGUCAUGCGGGGGCCAGUAACCUACUCAUGGAGUGUGGAGCUCUGCACUAGCUCCCAAGCCCACGAUGAACUCCGCCCCGUGGGGCUGGCGGUGGCGGGGGUCUCUCCGGAAGGAGAGAUCUACCGCCUUAGCGAGGGGAACCAGGCCAGGCCCGGAAGGGAGCAACCUAACCCUCGACGCCAGCGUUCACGGGUCACCGGAUGGAGGUUUGGGCUUGGGGCUAGCUAGUGCAGAGCUCCACACUCUAUGAGUAGGAGCCGCGCA
RNAcentral lists this signal recognition particle RNA (313 nucleotides) under Thermoprotei archaeon. Its description in RNAcentral is "signal recognition particle sRNA". It matches the Rfam family "Archaeal signal recognition particle RNA". Lineage: Archaea; Thermoproteati; Thermoproteota; Thermoprotei. The record is from RNAcentral.